AACAGUGAAACCCGGCAAGGGUACAGCUUCAGCCCAAAAUAUCCCGGCAAGGGAGGAUUUAAUAAUAAUAACUUAUUUGUCCCGGCAAGGGAGAACAAUUCAACACAAGUCCCCGCAAGGAAAAAAUAUCAUUUCAUAGUUUACUUAGUGAUCAAAGGACUCAAUUCUUUCACGACUUUCAAAUUCUAAGACAACUACGACAUCACGGUCAUGCUUAAUACCGGUGUAUAUAUACUCAUCACCAUGCCUAUACACCGUACUCGAUCAUUUAGCAAAUAGCAAUCGAAUACUCUAAUCAUAUUCCCUCAACCAAGGUUAGAUCAAACACUUACCUCGAAGGAUUCCAAUUCAACUCACGCCUCUAGGAUAGCUUUACCCCUCGAAUUCGCUUCAAAACAAGUCGAAUCUAACCAAAAUUUUCUCAAAGAUAUCAACAACUUCUAGUUAAAUCAAUUUGAAUGCAAAAGAGUAAAAUUCCCAAAGUUUUAACCAAAAAUUCACAAAAUUCCCCCGGGCUCACGUGGUCAAAACCCGAGGUUCGAACCAAAACUGGGUUACCCAUUCCUGCACGAGCUCAUAUCUAUAACUAGAAUUGAAAUCGGACCUCAAAUCGAGGUCCAAAAGCUCAAACCCAUUUCCCACGAGCUCAUAUCUAUAACUAGAAUGGAAAUCGGACCUCAAAUCGAGAUCUAAAAGCUCAAAUUAUAGAAAACCUAAGUUCUACCCAAAAUCUCAAAUUCCCAUUUUUGAAAAUCUUUGAUUGAAGUAGAAAUUAUGUUAAAAGAUGUUAAGGAGUAGAAAAUUUAAGUUAGAAAUCACUUACCAAUCGUUUUGAAAAAGAAAAGUUCUUUAAAAAAUCGCCUCUUAGGUUUUGGAUUUGUGAAAAGUGAAAAAAAAUGGCUGAAAUUGUUGGAUUUAUAUACCUUUCUGAGGGUCCAGCGC
This 942-nucleotide long non-coding RNA is filed under the name Nicotiana benthamiana. Its description in RNAcentral is "long non-coding RNA (NBEN_LNC021694)". The record is from RNAcentral. Lineage: Eukaryota; Viridiplantae; Streptophyta; Magnoliopsida; Solanales; Solanaceae.